AGAAGAAGAUAGCACAGAGAAUGCAGUGUCUGUUCAUUCUUUAGUUUCUACUGAAUGGGAGACCUACACUUGCUUUGUAAGUCACAAAAGCACCAUUCGCUUCAUGCACAGAGACUAUGGUGGAUUCCAAAAGAGGAGAACAGAUUUAGAUGAUGAAGAACUGGAGGAUAUGUGUUCAGAGCACCAGAGUGACUUUACUAAAGAUAUCAGAUUUCACACUGAUCUUCUAAUCAUACAGGCUCUUAGAAUUAUCCUCCUGAAGAUCACCAUUUUCAACAUCUUGAUGACGACACAUGCCAUCAUAAAGUGAAUGUCAUGCAGUGAUGACAACCUGGAUGAAAUUAUGUUCAAAGAUGAACAACAGAUGACCCAACUCACUUGGAUGUAGGUUGUUCCCGGCAAAAUACACCACUGAGUCUUGAGGAAUGAUGAAACACAGCUGAAUGAGUGUUUUGAAUGUUGGGGUCUGCCUCAUGUUUUAUGAUCAGAUAAUGGCACAGGUGCUGUGUUGUGUGGUGUUAGAACAUGAAGAUAUCUGAUCACAAAGUAACCUCAAAACUCUGAAGAACACACCAGGUGAACUGCACUACAGACAGCUUUGCACUGUUCCUUCUUCUCUAAUGAGUGCUUACUUUCUCUUCUCAUCACUGUGUUCAGUUGUCUCCCUCAAAGAGGGAAUCUUGAAGAAAAUUUCUUUUUUUUCUUCGAGCUAAAUUGAAAUUUCAUUGUUUUUUUCCACAUUUUUGAGAUGUAG
Molecule: long non-coding RNA, 754 nt
Organism: Pygocentrus nattereri (red-bellied piranha)
Lineage: Eukaryota; Metazoa; Chordata; Actinopteri; Characiformes; Serrasalmidae
Exons: 4
Source: RefSeq, a predicted model, not a curated record